This 372-nucleotide long non-coding RNA is filed under the name Musa acuminata (dwarf banana). Its description in RNAcentral is "long non-coding RNA (MACU_LNC006342)". Lineage: Eukaryota; Viridiplantae; Streptophyta; Magnoliopsida; Zingiberales; Musaceae. The record is from RNAcentral.
CUGUUUUCGUUGGACCUUGCCGCCGCCAUGAUGAAAUUGUGCUGUGCAGGAGGAAGACCAUCGACGAUUCGAGGAGCUGCUGCAGAAGAUGAUGGAUGAAGAGGAGGAACAGACGGGCGGCGGCGGCGGAAACAAGGAGCUACCGAUAGGAAUCAAGGACUGGUGGGCUUGAAACCACUCACCUCCGCUUUGUCUUCUUUUCUAAAGACAAUCAAGCAAAGCAUUUAGGAUGUUGACUUUGUGGCUGCAUGAACAGUGAACAUGAUUCCAUCCUUUUUCUUGAGACUCCCUUUACUCCACCAAGCCAAAAAAGUGAAGAGACGAUCGAAAGAUACAUAUCAUCAUCUGGUUUCCGACUCUACUAAUUCUUAG